Molecule: long non-coding RNA, 770 nt
Organism: Acanthaster planci (crown-of-thorns starfish)
Lineage: Eukaryota; Metazoa; Echinodermata; Asteroidea; Valvatida; Acanthasteridae
Source: RefSeq, a predicted model, not a curated record
CUGUGCUGUAGUGGUAUAUUCUUGCUGCAUUAAUUCACUGUCCCUUUCUUUGUUCCGCACUUUGGUGUCAGUGACUUUUUUGUAAAAGUUUUGUGGGUUGUUUUUGUUUUCUUUGUUCACUUUGGUUGUAUUUGCUCUGCAUUGAGUAGAAUACUUUGGUAUUAUUCAUGCUUACCAUGCCUGCAAACAUCUGUCUACCAGAAUUGAAACUUACACGUAGCUUAGUGUCUAGUGUGACUUGCAGAUGAGGUGAUUAGACUUUUAUUGUAUUAUGGUAAAUAUAGAAAAAAAAAUUUGAAUAGUGCAUCUACACUAAGUGUUGAGAAUUAGAAGCAAGUACUACGGUGGCGCCACGCUGGUACGCAGGUGGUACACAUGCUUUAACUUAUCUCAUUGACCGAUAGGAUGACAUACUUUUGCAUGUACUCAUACAUGUACAUGAAUCUGGUGCCCAUAGCAUCCCUCCAUCUAUUCCACGGUCAUGUAUUGUAAUCAAUGCAAUUGAAGGGAGAGAGGAAAAGGAGGGGCAGGCUCUGUGCUGUAAGGUGGCUGUAAAAUACCGGUACGACGCAUUUUUAGAAUCGGGAAAAAGGUGGUUUUGCCACUUGGACGAUGAUAACUACCUCAAUGUGUUGAACCUAUUGCAGCUAUUACAAAGCUACAACCACCAGCAAGACCUGUACCUAGGUAGGGCCAGCCUUUCCCAUCCCAUACAGGCACUGGACAGGGAUAAAGGAUAUGUGAGUAUCUCACAAUGGCCUAAACCUCCU